GGGAGUGUAUUUUAUUGUCUGGAGUCUUACCCCUCCGCUACUCCUUAGUUUUAAAAACAGUAUUGUGAAAGGGAGAAAAUAUAAGUAAACAUUUCAGGGGCAUUUACUUAAAUAAUAUGGGAAAUUGCAGGCUGUAUUUGUGUGUCACCAUUCCUGCCCUGUGUUGAUUCACUGAAUCGAUAUUUAGUGCAUAACCACAAACAAGCAUUAUAUGACUGUCUCACGAGUAGGAAACUGUGUAAUUGAAGGAACAAUGGCUGUCCCCUCUUUCCACAGGAACUCUAACCCAGCUGCAACUUUGAAGUCAUCAUUGUUAUGGGGUGAGCAGAUUUCAGGCAUGCAGGAUCUUUUUUUAAAAAAACAACAACCACCAAGAACACCAAGAUCCAUCAAGGAGAAUCAGGUGCCAAAGGACGUUUGCUGAAGCAAAUCUCAUCACUCAGAGACUGACAGCUGAAUGUGUGAAGUACCUCAAUUGAAAAAUACUGUUUGAGGUCAUGACAGGGUGUAGAUUGGUGCUGCAGGCCUGCAUGCGACCGAAGAGAGGACAACAUCAGCAUCAUGCAUUGUCUGGGAAGAGAGAUCGUCAAGAUUUAAGGACAAGGGACAGGGAUCUGUUAAAAAGGGCAAAUGCCUUAAAGGAAAUCCGAAGCACAUUAAGGCUUCAGAGCCAUGUCUAUGGAAAAACCUCACAACUUUAACUGAAAAAAUACCAUGUCUAUCCAAAGAAGCACAUCAUGGUGUACAGAAUCUAAGGAAAAUCUCUGCAACAUUUAAAAAAACAACAAUUUGCUUCAAACUGUUUUUAAUAUUGCAUUUUAAAAUUACCACAACACAAGAGAACAAAAGCGAUAAACUGCUAAUUAAGGGACAAACUGUAGGGGGUGCUAGAAUCUCAGCUAAGAUAGCCUAGGCGCAUUCCAUUGUUAGUGAUGUGAUGAUUAUCAAAGCUAUUGUGAAAGCAUAUGUUAGUCAUAGCAAUCUCCUUGGUAAUAGAGAUCUGGAGGAUUUAGAGCCUGCUCUGUGCGGAGAAAGUGAAAUGGUGCUCUCUUUUCUUAAUUUGUCUGCCACGAUUGGCAUUGCUGUGUGACAGGUACAAGGAGGGCAAGAAUGAAUUCCCAGAUCAUAGGUAGUUGCCUUAUACCAGGUGUCAGGGGUCCCUCAG
Molecule: non-coding RNA, 1165 nt
Organism: Podarcis muralis (Common wall lizard)
Lineage: Eukaryota; Metazoa; Chordata; Lepidosauria; Squamata; Lacertidae
Source: RefSeq, a predicted model, not a curated record